AGCGGCGGACGGGUGAGUAACACGUGGGUAACCUGCCUGUAAGACUGGGAUAACUCCGGGAAACCGGGGCUAAUACCGGAUGCUUGAUUGAACCGCAUGGUUCAAUUAUAAAAGGUGGCUUUUAGCUACCACUUACAGAUGGACCCGCGGCGCAUUAGCUAGUUGGUGAGGUAACGGCUCACCAAGGCAACGAUGCGUAGCCGACCUGAGAGGGUGAUCGGCCACACUGGGACUGAGACACGGCCCAGACUCCUACGGGAGGCAGCAGUAGGGAAUCUUCCGCAAUGGACGAAAGUCUGACGGAGCAACGCCGCGUGAGUGAUGAAGGUUUUCGGAUCGUAAAACUCUGUUGUUAGGGAAGAACAAGUACCGUUCGAAUAGGGCGGUACCUUGACGGUACCUAACCAGAAAGCCACGGCUAACUACGUGCCAGCAGCCGCGGUAAUACGUAGGUGGCAAGCGUUGUCCGGAAUUAUUGGGCGUAAAGCGCGCGCAGGCGGUUUCUUAAGUCUGAUGUGAAAGCCCCCGGCUCAACCGGGGAGGGUCAUUGGAAAC
RNAcentral lists this ribosomal RNA (555 nucleotides) under Bacillus paralicheniformis. RNAcentral describes it as "bacterial SSU rRNA". It matches the Rfam family "Bacterial small subunit ribosomal RNA", at positions 94 to 633 of the family's 1533-position model. The record is from RNAcentral. Lineage: Bacteria; Bacillati; Bacillota; Bacilli; Caryophanales; Bacillaceae.